CAUUGUGUCCACAUUAGGUUACAUCUAUGUGACCAUGUGCCCACGUUAGGUUGUGACCAUGUGCCCACGUUAGGUUACAUCUAUGUGACCAUGUGCCCACGUUAGGUUGUGACCAUGUGCCCACGUUAGGUUACAUCUAUGUGACCAUGUGCCCACGUUAGGUUACAUCUAUAUGACCAUGUGUCCACAUCAAGAACAACUGUCAAAAAAUGAAAGAUACAUAUUAGACACAUAACGUUAAAUGAUUAUGACACACAUUGUCUCUUCUCCAUUUAAAUAGUUCCAAUACAUCACUCUUCAGUCUUUCUGUUUCUCUCCUGUACCUGAUCAACUCUCUCCAGUGUUUCUGUUGCUUGUUGAUUACCAUUGGCAUUAAACAGACCACCAACUGCUGCAUUA
Long non-coding RNA from Branchiostoma floridae (Florida lancelet), 399 nucleotides. RefSeq lists it as uncharacterized. Lineage: Eukaryota; Metazoa; Chordata; Leptocardii; Amphioxiformes; Branchiostomatidae. The record is from RefSeq and is a predicted model, not a curated record. The transcript has 2 exons.